This 1060-nucleotide long non-coding RNA is filed under the name Vulpes vulpes (red fox). RNAcentral describes it as "lncRNA (ENSVVUG00000010279.1)". The record is from RNAcentral. Lineage: Eukaryota; Metazoa; Chordata; Mammalia; Carnivora; Canidae.
UGUUUUUAAACUUAUGGCGUAAUAUUUCUUCUGACACUCCCCACACUCAACUCCCUGCCAGAUACCCAGAGCAAGAAAAUACUAAGAGUGAAUUUUCUAAAUUAGGAAUAGAGAAAUGACCCAUUUACAGAAAAUCAAAUGCAGUCUCUCGCACGUUCUGCAAGUACCUGAAGAAAAUAUAGAGACGACUCAUUUUAGAAUCUGCCACAGAAAGGGCCAACCCUUGAUCUGUAGAAUCCUUUUCACUAAGGAAACCUUUCGUUGUAGGAUGGAAUGUUGGAAUAGAAGACACCAGGGCCCGGAUCCUGUCUUCACUUUGGCUUAAUGGGGCUGGGCUGGGCUACCACUCAGAACUCUGUGACCUGGACGGAUGGAAAUACCAUGUUGGGGAUUUGAGGUUGCUGGCCCUGAAGUAUGUGGCAGAGGGUUUAUGAAGGGCUGAUCUCUCCAAAAGUGCUUCACUCUCCAGCUGGAGACAGACGUGCCUACAGGAGCUUGAAGUCCUGUGUUCUACUUCCAGUGAAGGCUGCUUUUACCCUGGACGAGGAAUCCAUACUGCUUUACUUUCUGCCCCUCUUUGGCUUUCUUCCGGAUGAAGAAAUAUGCCCUACACCUGCUGGCUCUGUGGCUGCCCCAGGUGAUAUUUUUGCACAGCAUGAUGGGAGAUAGACGGUGGAUGAAAGCUCCAACUGGCUUCUCAAAGAAGGGAAAAGAAAACAAGAGGAAAAGAAUGGAAAGGGUGGAGGGAACGUGAUAAAAUUGCCCCUCCUGUUUCACCUGGAAAAAGAAGGUAUACAUGAAAAGUCAUUCAAGCCAAUGGUCAGAAGGUCAUGACGUUGUCUGGUCUCUUCCAACUGAAAAGUGGGACUCAGAACACCACACUCACUUUGCUAGAACUGUUCCCUCUUGGCAGGUUUCCUUUUAGUCUGGCUUUAGGGAGAGUACCUUUAGUCUUUAAUCUUUUAUUAUUUGUUAAGACUCCAAUUUAGACAUUGGCAAAUGGAUGGUCCAAAACAUAUAUUAGUGUUUUCAAUGUAAGAGCUGGCCUAUCUUGUUAUCC